This 263-nucleotide ribosomal RNA is filed under the name uncultured bacterium. Its description in RNAcentral is "partial 16S ribosomal RNA". It matches the Rfam family "Bacterial small subunit ribosomal RNA", at positions 334 to 594 of the family's 1533-position model. The record is from RNAcentral.
UACAUCCUAGGGGGGCAGCAGUGAGGAAUAUUGGUCAAUGGUCAGGAGACUGAACCAGCCAAGCCGCGUGAGGGAUGAAGGUACAGAGUAUCGUAAACCUCUUUUGUCAGGGAACAAAGGCGGGGACGCGUCCCCGGAUGAGUGUACCUGAAGAAAAAGCAUCGGCUAACUCCGUGCCAGCAGCCGCGGUAAUACGGAGGAUGCGAGCGUUAUCCGGAUUUAUUGGGUUUAAAGGGUGCGCAGGCGGUCUGUUAAGUCAGCGG